UGUACGAAAGGACUUUUUCGCUAAAGUAAUGCUUUGGCCCAGUCCUAUAAUUACACAAAUAAUGUUACAUGACGAGCUGAGUAACUCAUAAAAAGGACUG
Molecule: ribosomal RNA, 100 nt
Filed under: Mytilus galloprovincialis (Mediterranean mussel)
Lineage: Eukaryota; Metazoa; Mollusca; Bivalvia; Mytilida; Mytilidae
Description: partial 16S ribosomal RNA
Source: RNAcentral